This is a long non-coding RNA of Athalia rosae (coleseed sawfly), 706 nucleotides long. RefSeq lists it as uncharacterized. The record is from RefSeq and is a predicted model, not a curated record. NCBI's taxonomy places the organism in Eukaryota, Metazoa, Arthropoda, Insecta, Hymenoptera, Athaliidae. The transcript has 4 exons.
GGAUUUUCGACGAGGUUUUAACGUUCGAAUCCGAGGGAGCUGCGCGUUCUUUACCUGCGGUGCAGAGCGGGCAUCGAAGGGAUCGGUCGGCGCCAUGAUCAAUGCGUGUAGUCUUUCGCAAGCGUCUACUCUGCCCGUGGACGACGUGGUCCAGGGCGGGGUCACGAAGUAGGGUAGCUAAGAGGGGACUAGCGGCCGCCAAGACGACCCGAUGAGCCCUGACGACGGAGCCAUCGUCGCAGGCCAGAGCGACGUCCACGUGUUGGUCACCGCUGUACCAAGCGCCAACCUCUGCUGCCAAUGUUGCAGGGUGUUUCCCAUAAUGGAGGGUCAGCAGACCGUCCGUAUACAUCGUCUGAAAAUUGAGCCUCAUCCACACCUGCGGAGAAUCGGGGAAAUCGUUAUUUUAUCAUUUUCCGAGGUUGGCUACCUGGUGGUUGAUAGAAAAAAAAAAAAAAGAAACAAUGUUGAAAAAAUACCCGAUAGAACGAUGAAUGAUAAAGCGACAGUUGGAAAAUAAGACGGAAACGUGUAAUUAUAUGUAUAUGCGAUUACACAACAUCUCCAUGCAUAUCUGCGAGGGAAAUUGUUGUUACGAAGUUCAGGGUCAGUCGGUGUUAUAUGAUGAUUGCAUUUGCGUUUUCCUUAUUCUAUUUGGGCCUUGACGAUGACGACGGGACGCUACGCGAUCGAGUUGUGCUGUUGC